UUUACGCCAAAACUGCUACUUUCCGGGUUUUACAACUAUUUUUAUUAUACAGGUGCUAAAGAUGGGCUAUUCUGAUAAAUGAAUAAAUGUGUACAAAUGUGCUUUUUGCAAUGUUAUAAGGACGAGAUGUUAUCUUAAAAAGUAAUACUUUAAACGGCAUUCAUUGGAACAUAUAAGAAACACGGGAAACUUUAUCUAUCUAUUCAAAAAUCUAUCCACGGAACUCUAAAAAUCCCAAAGAUUAAAGUUUUAAAAUUAAUUGAGGAAAGCUGGAUGGCGCAUGUGCGAGUGACGCGCCUUUUUUAAAAGCCAGGCCGAUUGGAUGUCGAAUAAAGGUUCCCAAGUUACGGUCUUGGCAGGUGGAUCGAAUCAACCAACAGAGUGAAAUGUCCACAUUCUAAAGUGAAAUUCUUCCAGUUUUGUCGUCUCGAGGCUUUUAAUCUAUUUCAGUGGAGAGCCAACUGUUAUAAUGAGUAAUUUAUUUAA
This is a long non-coding RNA of Belonocnema kinseyi, 486 nucleotides long. RefSeq lists it as uncharacterized. The record is from RefSeq and is a predicted model, not a curated record. Lineage: Eukaryota; Metazoa; Arthropoda; Insecta; Hymenoptera; Cynipidae. The transcript is spliced from 3 exons.